AGAGUUUGAUCCUGGCUCAGGAUGAACGCUGGCGGCGUGCCUAACACAUGCAAGUCGAACGGAGCGCUGAGACUUCGGUUUUUGUGCUUAGUGGCGGACGGGUGAGUAACGCGUGAGCAAUCUGCCUUUCAGAGGGGGAUAACGACUGGGAACGGUCGCUAAUACCGCAUAACGUAUUUUGCAGGCAUCUGCGAGAUACCAAAGGAGCAAUCCGCUGAAAGAUGAGCUCGCGCCUGAUUAGAUAGUUGGUGAGGUAACGGCCCACCAAGUCGACGAUCAGUAGCCGGACUGAGAGGUUGAACGGCCACAUUGGGACUGAGACACGGCCCAGACUCCUACGGGAGGCAGCAGUGGGGAAUAUUGCGCAAUGGGGGAAACCCUGACGCAGCAACGCCGCGUGAUCGAAGAAGGUCUUCGGAUUGUAAAGAUCUUUUAUCAGGGACGAAGAAAGUGACGGUACCUGAUGAAUAAGCUCCGGCUAACUACGUGCCAGCAGCCGCGGUAAUACGUAGGGAGCGAGCGUUAUCCGGAUUUACUGGGUGUAAAGGGCGAGUAGGCGGGCUGGUAAGUUGGAAGUGAAAUGUCGGGGCUUAACCCCGGAACUGCUUUCAAAACUGCUGGUCUUGAGUGAUGGAGAGGCAGGCGGAAUUCCUAGUGUAGCGGUGAAAUGCGUAGAUAUUAGGAGGAACACCAGUGGCGAAGGCGGCCUGCUGGACAUUAACUGACGCUGAGGAGCGAAAGCGUGGGGAGCAAACAGGAUUAGAUACCCUGGUAGUCCACGCCGUAAACGAUGGAUACUAGGUGUGGGAGGUAUUGCACCCCUUCCGUGCCGCAGUU
Molecule: ribosomal RNA, 837 nt
Filed under: uncultured bacterium
Lineage: Bacteria
Description: bacterial SSU rRNA
Rfam family: Bacterial small subunit ribosomal RNA
Source: RNAcentral